Molecule: RNA transcript, 1668 nt
Organism: Solanum dulcamara
Lineage: Eukaryota; Viridiplantae; Streptophyta; Magnoliopsida; Solanales; Solanaceae
Gene name: transcription factor bHLH81-like
Exons: 7
Source: RefSeq, a predicted model, not a curated record
CUGUUACUCCAUCUUCUUUCUUUACCUCACCUUUUUUUUUAAAAAAUAAAACUUUGAAAACGGCAACAAAAAAAUCACCUGAAGAGAAAAAAAAAGAAGGUACCUUUCGCCGGAAAAAUCCACCGAUGCAACGUGGAACUGCCGGUGCCGGAGGUGGUGGACUUUCUCGUUUCCGUUCAGCUCCGGCGACAUGGUUAGAAGCACUUCUUGAAUCCGACACUGAGAACGAAGUUAUUCUUAACCCUUCUUCUCCCAUUUUACACACACCUAGUAAACCACCACCUCACCCAUCAACUCAGAAGCUCCCGGAGCUUAAACUGGAAACCGGUGGCGCUACCAGGUUCCCUGGCGAUCCGGGUCUGUUUGAAUCAGGUGGCAGUAGCAAUUUUCUCCGGCAGAACAGUUCUCCGGCGGAGUUUCUUUCACAUAUCAGCUCUGAUGGUUACUUCUCAAACUAUGGAAUUCCGUCUAGUUUGGACUAUCUUUCUCCAUCCGUUGAUGUUUCUCCGUCCGCUAAGCGAGCCCGAGACGCUGAUUCGGAAAGUUCCCCCAGAAAAUUAUCAUCCCAGUUGAAGGGAGAGCCAAGGGGGCAGUUACAUGGUUCUGGUGGGUCACUGGAUGCUGAAAUGGAGAAUCUCAUGGAUGAUUUGGUGCCUUGUAAGGUUCGAGCAAAGCGUGGCUGUGCUACCCAUCCUCGCAGCAUAGCGGAGCGGGUUCGUCGAACCCGUAUAAGUGACAGAAUUAGGAAGCUUCAGGAACUGGUGCCAAAUAUGGACAAGCAAACCAACACAGCCGACAUGUUGGAAGAAGCAGUUGAAUACGUCAAGUUUCUGCAGAGGCAGAUUCAGGAACUUACGGAGCAUCAGAAGAAAUGCACAUGCUCAAUGAAAGAUCAAUAAUGAGAAGAAGAAAGUUCCACUAUAGUAUAUAGGCAAUAGUUUGCUUAGAUGCAUGCAGUUUAGACAUGGUUGGGAUAUUUUGUACUUUUAGGAUUUAGCGUUCAGAUGUUGAGUCCCCAAACUUGCAUGUUUAUGAAGUCCAUAUAGAUGCUUUUCUUAAACUGAAGGAAAAUCAUUAUGGAAGCAACUGGCGUGUAGAUUGGAAAAAAGCUCAUUGCAGGUCUAUUAAUGAGAGAAAUUGAAUGAGGUAGCAGCCUUUCUAGUAUUAGUUGCAUAUGCAGAACUUGAAUAAGUAGGUUAAUGUUAUCUGCUGGAAAUAAGCAGUUCUUCAUAAAUCAUGUUUUGCUUGGGAAGUGAGGAAGAGCUGAAGAAAUUAUAAUGUUUUAGCAUGUAUAUUAUCCCCAUAUACAUGUGGUCAUAGAAUAUUAUAAACAGUGCUGUUGCAGGGACCAACUGCCUGCUAUUCACUCUUUCCCUGGUGAGUAAUCUUCUUAUUUGUAUAAAAACAUAAUAAGGUAUUACAACAUUGCUUUUAGAUACUUAGAGCCCGUUUGGAUUGGCUUUUGACCAACUUAAAGCCCCUUUUAAGCUUUUGGACGUGUUUGCCUAAUGCUAACUUUAAGCCAGAAAGUUCUUAAAGUCAGUCAAAAAUGAAAAGUUAGGAUUCCUAACUUUUUUUUUUUCUAAGUGCUUAAAGUCAUUUUCUUUGACCAUGGAAAUCACUUUUAUAUCCCUUAUAUUUUAACUAAAUUUCCAAACUACCCUUUUU